CGGACGGGUGAGUAACACGUGGAUAACCUACCUAUAAGACUGGGAUAACUUCGGGAAACCGGAGCUAAUACCGGAUAAUAUAUUGAACCGCAUGGUUCAAUAGUGAAAGACGGUUUUGCUGUCACUUAUAGAUGGAUCCGCGCCGCAUUAGCUAGUUGGUAAGGUAACGGCUUACCAAGGCAACUAUGCGUAGCCGACCUGAGAGGGUGAUCGGCCACACUGGAACUGAGACACGGUCCAG
RNAcentral lists this ribosomal RNA (241 nucleotides) under uncultured Staphylococcus sp. Its description in RNAcentral is "partial 16S ribosomal RNA". It matches the Rfam family "Bacterial small subunit ribosomal RNA", at positions 99 to 334 of the family's 1533-position model. Lineage: Bacteria; Bacillati; Bacillota; Bacilli; Caryophanales; Staphylococcaceae. The record is from RNAcentral.